GACGAACGCUGGCGGCGUGCUUAACACAUGCAAGUCGAACGGAAAGGCUCCAGCUUGCUGGAGUACUCGAGUGGCGAACGGGUGAGUAACACGUGGGUAAUCUGCCCUGCACUCUGGGAUAAGCCUGGGAAACUGGGCCUAAUACUGGAUAUGACCUUUCUCCUUAUGGGGUUUGGUGGAAAGUUUUUCGGUGUAGGAUGAGCCCGCGGCCUAUCAGCUUGUUGGUGGGGUGAUGGCCUACCAAGGCGACGACGGGUAGCCGGCCUGAGAGGGUGAUCGGCCACAUUGGGACUGAGAUACGGCCCAGACUCCUACGGGAGGCAGCAGUGGGGAAUAUUGCACAAUGGGCGGAAGCCUGAUGCAGCGACGCCGCGUGAGGGAUGACGGCCUUCGGGUUGUAAACCUCUUUCAGCAGGGACGAAGCGUAAGUGACGGUACCUGCAGAAGAAGCACCGGCUAACUAUGUG
Molecule: ribosomal RNA, 467 nt
Filed under: uncultured bacterium
Lineage: Bacteria
Description: partial 16S ribosomal RNA
Rfam family: Bacterial small subunit ribosomal RNA
Source: RNAcentral